RNAcentral lists this ribosomal RNA (253 nucleotides) under uncultured bacterium. RNAcentral's name for it is "partial 16S ribosomal RNA". It matches the Rfam family "Bacterial small subunit ribosomal RNA", at positions 524 to 776 of the family's 1533-position model. The record is from RNAcentral.
UACGGGGGGGGCAAGCGUUGUUCGGAAUUACUGGGCGUAAAGGGUUCGUAGGUGGCCAACUAAGUCAGACGUGAAAUCCCUCAGCUUAACUGGGGAACUGCGUCUGAUACUGGUUGGCUUGAGUGCAGGAGAGGAACGCGGAAUUCCAGGUGUAGCGGUGAAAUGCGUAGAUAUCUGGAGGAACACCGGUGGCGAAGGCGGCAUCCUGGACCAAUAUUGACGCUGAGGAGCGAAAGCUAGGGGAGCAAACGGG